RNAcentral lists this ribosomal RNA (527 nucleotides) under Coptoprepes campanensis. Its description in RNAcentral is "eukaryotic LSU rRNA". It matches the Rfam family "Eukaryotic large subunit ribosomal RNA", at positions 1385 to 1873 of the family's 3401-position model. Lineage: Eukaryota; Metazoa; Arthropoda; Arachnida; Araneae; Anyphaenidae. The record is from RNAcentral.
AGGGUCGCGGCGGGGAGCGUUGAAGGUGCCGGGCGUGAGCCCGCCUGGAGCCCCCGUCGGUGCAGAUCUUGGUGGUAGUAGCAAAUACUCAAGUGAGAACCUUGAGGACUGAAGUUGGAGAAGGGUUCCAUGUGAACAGCAGUUGAACAUGGGUCAGUCGGUCCUAAGGGAUCGGAGAAAUCCGUUCCGAAGCGGGACCUUACCGAGCGUUCGAGUCCCGCUGCAGACCGAAAGGGAAUGGGGUCAAUAUUCCCCAACCCGGACACGGAGAUCGGGCCUUCGGGCCCAAGUGCGGCGACGCAACCGAACUCGGAGAAGUCGACGGAGGACCCGGGGAAGAGUUGUCUUUUCUUUGUAAGAGUUCGUGUCCCUGGAAUCGGCUCGUCCGGAGAUAGGGACGCUGUUCUCGUAAAAGCACCGCGGCUCUUGCGGUGUCCGGUCCGCCUCUGUCGGCCCUUGCAAAUCCGAGGGAGAUGGUGUGAUUUUCGUGCCGGACCGUACCCAUAUCCGCAGCAGGUCUCCAAGGU